This 579-nucleotide long non-coding RNA is filed under the name Trifolium pratense (red clover). RNAcentral's name for it is "long non-coding RNA (TPRA_LNC002739)". The record is from RNAcentral. Lineage: Eukaryota; Viridiplantae; Streptophyta; Magnoliopsida; Fabales; Fabaceae.
AAGAAUGAAGCUUCAUCAACUCUACUUCCGGCUGCUGUUGAUGAAGUGUGAGUCCCAUGACCUUCUGUGUCGCGUGUGGAGUUUAAUCCUAAGGUGAUGUUUGGAUAUUUUGCUAAUAUUCCUUUGUUGAAGAAUUUAGCACCAAUUAAUUUUUUGUUGCAAAGUGAUGAAUUGAAAUGAAUGCUAUUUUCACAUUUUCCUUUCCAUUUUGAAGGAAUGUUAGCAAUUCCAUUAUCUUUGAAGCUUUCACUUUCUGGCCAAACACCUGUGUCAAUCAAACCAACAAUCACAUCUUUACCAAAAUUCGAAUCAUGCCAAGCUCCUACGUUUGGAUUGAGACCAAGGAAUUGAGGUGAGUGUGUUGUGUCAAGCUUCAAGUGUAAAUCAGGUAUGGAAGAAAUGUAACCAGGAGAGUUUUUGAGAGAUUCAUGUUCUUUUGGUGACAAAUUAGCACUGAAACCAUUCAUGGCAUGCGUGUAGGUGUAAAUUAACUUAGAUGAAAUUGGAGAGUUGAGAUUAUCGGAUGUUGCAAGUUGAGGUUUCUCUAAUGCAGAGGAAAGAGUUGAUUGAUACCAUGUG